Molecule: ribosomal RNA, 246 nt
Filed under: uncultured bacterium
Lineage: Bacteria
Description: partial 16S ribosomal RNA
Rfam family: Bacterial small subunit ribosomal RNA
Source: RNAcentral
ACGACGACCGGCGCACGGGUGCGUAACGCGUAUACAAUCUACCUUUUACAGGGGGAUAGCCUUUAGAGAUGAAGAUUAAUACCCCAUAGUAUAUCAGUAUGGCAUCAUACAGAUAUUAAAAUUUCGGUGGUAAAAGAUGAGUAUGCGUCCUAUUAGUUAGUUGGUAAGGUAACGGCUUACCAAGACUACGAUAGGUAGGGGCCCUGAGAGGGGGAUCCCCCACACUGGUACUGAGACACGGACCAG